GCGAACGUUAGCGGUGUGGAUUAGGCAUGCAAGUCGCGCGCGAAAGCCUUCGGGCAAGUAAAGCGGCGGACGGGUGAGUAACACGUAACCAACCUACCCUCGAGACUGGAAUAACCACUGGAAACGGUGGGUAAUGCCGGAUGGUCCAUUCGGGCGGCAUCGUCUGAUUGGUAAAUGGCUUCGGCUGUUCGAGGAGGGGGUUGCGGGCUAUUAGCUAGUUGGCGGGGUAAUGGCCCACCAAGGCUAUGAUGGCUAACAGGUCUGAGAGGACGAUCUGUCACACUGGGACUGAGACACUGCCCAGACUCCUACGGGAGGCUGCAGUCGAGAAUCUUCCGCAAUGGGCGAAAGCCUGACGGAGCGACACCGCGUGUGGGAUGAAGGCCUUAGGGUUGUAAACCACUGUCACGCUAUAGGAAACCGGCUUCGGCCGCUGACCAAAGCGAAAGGAAGCACCGGCUAACUCCGU
Molecule: ribosomal RNA, 469 nt
Filed under: uncultured bacterium
Lineage: Bacteria
Description: bacterial SSU rRNA
Rfam family: Bacterial small subunit ribosomal RNA
Source: RNAcentral